RNAcentral lists this ribosomal RNA (498 nucleotides) under uncultured bacterium. RNAcentral describes it as "partial 16S ribosomal RNA". It matches the Rfam family "Bacterial small subunit ribosomal RNA", at positions 28 to 506 of the family's 1533-position model. The record is from RNAcentral.
GACGAACGCUGGCGGCGUGCUUAACACAUGCAAGUCGAACGGGCCCGCUCUCUUUUUUGGGGGUGGGUUGAGUGGCGAACGGGUGAGUAUCACGUGAGUAACCUGCCCCCUGCUCCUGGAUAACUGCUUGAAAGGGCGGCUAAUACGGGGUGUGCCGGCUGGUCCGCAUGGGCCUGGUCGGGAUAGUUUCAUCUUCGGGUGUUUCGGUGGGGGAUGGGCUCGCGGCCUAUCAGCUUGUUGGUGGGGUGAUGGCCCACCAAGGCGGUGACGGGUAGCCGGCCUGAGAGGGUGGGCGGCCACACUGGGACUGAGACACGGCCCAGACUCCUGCGGGAGGCAGCAGUGGGGGGUAUUGCACAAUGGGCGGAAGCCUGAUGCAGCGACGUCGCGUGAGGGAUGGAGGCCUUCGGGUUGUGAACCUCUUUCUCCGGUGGUGAAGGCCCUGUCCGUUGCGGCGGGGUUGACGGUAGCCGGGUAUGAAGCGCCGGUUAACUACGU